UUCCGAAUGGGGAAACCCAGUGUGAUUCGUCACACUAUCAUUAACUGAAUCCAUAGGUUAAUGAGGCGAACCGGGGGAACUGAAACAUCUAAGUACCCCGAGGAAAAGAAAUCAACCGAGAUUCCCCCAGUAGCGGCGAGCGAACGGGGAGCAGCCCAGAGCCUGAAUCAGUGUGUGUGUUAGUGGAAGCGUCUGGAAAGGCGCGCGAUACAGGGUGACAGCCCCGUACACAAAAAUGCACAUACUGUGAGCUCGAUGAGUAGGGCGGGACACGUGGUAUCCUGUCUGAAUAUGGGGGGACCAUCCUCCAAGGCUAAAUACUCCUGACUGACCGAUAGUGAACCAGUACCGUGAGGGAAAGGCGAAAAGAACCCCGGCGAGGGGAGUGAAAAAGAACCUGAAACCGUGUACGUACAAGCAGUGGGAGCACGCUUCGGCGUGUGACUGCGUACCUUUUGUAUAAUGGGUCAGCGACUUAUAUUCUGUAGCAAGGUUAACCGAAUAGGGGAGCCGAAGGGAAACCGAGUCUUAACUGGGCGUUAAGUUGCAGGGUAUAGACCCGAAACCCGGUGAUCUAGCCAUGGGCAGGUUGAAGGUUGGGUAACACUAACUGGAGGACCGAACCGACUAAUGUUGAAAAAUUAGCGGAUGACUUGUGGCUGGGGGUGAAAGGCCAAUCAAACCGGGAGAUAGCUGGUUCUCCCCGAAAGCUAUUUAGGUAGCGCCUCGUGAAUUCAUCUCCGGGGGUAGAGCACUGUUUCGGCAAGGGGGUCAUCCCGACUUACCAACCCGAUGCAAACU
This 801-nucleotide ribosomal RNA is filed under the name Escherichia coli. RNAcentral's name for it is "partial 23S ribosomal RNA". It matches the Rfam family "Bacterial large subunit ribosomal RNA", at positions 112 to 955 of the family's 2925-position model. The record is from RNAcentral. Lineage: Bacteria; Pseudomonadati; Pseudomonadota; Gammaproteobacteria; Enterobacterales; Enterobacteriaceae.